Molecule: transfer RNA, 64 nt
Filed under: Orthonychiurus folsomi
Lineage: Eukaryota; Metazoa; Arthropoda; Collembola; Poduromorpha; Onychiuridae
Description: tRNA-Leu
Rfam family: tRNA
About the family: Transfer RNA (tRNA) molecules are approximately 80 nucleotides in length. Their secondary structure includes four short double-helical elements and three loops (D, anti-codon, and T loops).
Source: RNAcentral
GUUAAGUUGGCAGAUUAGUGCAUUUGAUUUAGAAUCAAAAUAAGAAUUAAUUAUUUACUUAAUA